UACGAAGGGGGCUAGCGUUGCUCGGAAUCACUGGGCGUAAAGGGUGCGUAGGCGGGUCUUUAAGUCAGGGGUGAAAUCCUGGAGCUCAACUCCAGAACUGCCUUUGAUACUGAAGAUCUUGAGUUCGGGAGAGGUGAGUGGAACUGCGAGUGUAGAGGUGAAAUUCGUAGAUAUUCGCAAGAACACCAGUGGCGAAGGCGGCUUCCUGGUCUGCAACUGACGCUGUGGCGCGAAAGCUAGGGGAGCAAACGGG
RNAcentral lists this ribosomal RNA (253 nucleotides) under uncultured bacterium. RNAcentral describes it as "partial 16S ribosomal RNA". It matches the Rfam family "Bacterial small subunit ribosomal RNA", at positions 524 to 776 of the family's 1533-position model. The record is from RNAcentral.